RNAcentral lists this ribosomal RNA (521 nucleotides) under Streptomyces thermosacchari. RNAcentral's name for it is "bacterial SSU rRNA". It matches the Rfam family "Bacterial small subunit ribosomal RNA", at positions 333 to 864 of the family's 1533-position model. Lineage: Bacteria; Bacillati; Actinomycetota; Actinomycetes; Kitasatosporales; Streptomycetaceae. The record is from RNAcentral.
ACGUUCCUACGGGAGGCAGCAGUGGGGAAUAUUGCACAAUGGGCGAAAGCCUGAUGCAGCGACGCCGCGUGAGGGAUGACGGCCUUCGGGUUGUAAACCUCUUUCAGCAGGGAAGAAGCGAGAGUGACGGUACCUGCAGAAGAAGCGCCGGCUAACUACGUGCCAGCAGCCGCGGUAAUACGUAGGGCGCAAGCGUUGUCCGGAAUUAUUGGGCGUAAAGAGCUCGUAGGCGGCUUGUCGCGUCGGUUGUGAAAGCCCGGGGCUUAACCCCGGGUCUGCAGUCGAUACGGGCAGGCUAGAGUUCGGUAGGGGAGAUCGGAAUUCCUGGUGUAGCGGUGAAAUGCGCAGAUAUCAGGAGGAACACCGGUGGCGAAGGCGGAUCUCUGGGCCGAUACUGACGCUGAGGAGCGAAAGCGUGGGGAGCGAACAGGAUUAGAUACCCUGGUAGUCCACGCCGUAAACGGUGGGCACUAGGUGUGGGCAACAUUCCACGUCGUCCGUGCCGCAGCUGACGCAUUAAA